Molecule: long non-coding RNA, 1936 nt
Filed under: Medicago truncatula (barrel medic)
Lineage: Eukaryota; Viridiplantae; Streptophyta; Magnoliopsida; Fabales; Fabaceae
Description: lncRNA gene46593
Source: RNAcentral
AUUCACAUUGCUUUGUUGAGUGUGUUAGCAUUGCAGCAUGAUCUAGCUUAUAAGUAAUGUGUUAAACUAAUUUGAUGUGAUUGACUGUUACUUAUUUAAACCAAUGCAUUCACUCUCUCUGCUGUUUGAUGAAAUGUCUGACAAAGAUGAUGUGUUUUGUUGGACGGUGUUGACUGUUUGUGCGCAUGAGAACAUUCUAGGAUUGUGUUUGAUCUUAUUUUAGAAAAUCUUUUACUCUGAGACAAUAACAUUAUUGUUUGUGGCCUCGUCGUUAAUGUGAAAUAGAUCAAGAGAAUUGGCAGCCAAGACUAUGUCUCAUUGACAAAUAUAUAUAUUUGAAUUAUGGAGUCUGGUAAAUGGAAAGAGUCCAUUUCCAUAUACAACAUAAAGUUAGCCAAAAUGUUACACAAUCAGGUAUGGCGAUGCCAAAAAGCCGUAUAGUGCAGGAGCGCACGAGUCUCAUUCUCUCGCAUUCGUCCUUACCUGUGUUCUAUUCUAUUGAUCCAUAGGAGCAGUUAUAUCAUCCGCAGCAGAUCUUAUAGAGGAAGAAGCUGUUGAUGCAAUAAAAGCUGUGAUCCUAGGAGCUGCACGUAUAAUUAUGAUAUCUAUUUGAAUAUGUAUGUGCGUGUGAAAAAAUUUAUUCAACUUUGACUGCAAAUAGUGUACGAACGUAAUGUCGACCAUCAAGCCAUGUUAGCGACCCAAAAUUGUAUCCACCGCGAGCCUUGUUUCCUGAGAAUGAGACUUUAUAGGUAAUUCUUUGAACACUCUCUGAAAACACAAGUUUAUUGGGUAUGACCUUAACAACCAAUCCUUCAGGUGCAUGCACCUUUGCAACAUAUGUGGCAUUAAAUGUUCCCACAUUAGUAACUGUUCUUGUGAUCACUUUUGUAUUCUGAUUCCUUUUUAGUGUUCCUAUGGAGAUUGAUGGGUAGUUGAUGUUUGAUAUAAGGUCUGGAGAGGUCCUUGGGCAAGUGACAUUGCUCUUACACACGGACCUUAUGAUUUUAUUUGAAUAGCCGUAAUAACAAAGGAAUCUGACGUAGUCUUCUAGAUUUGUUUCAAAGACUAAUCCAGGGUUGAGAGCUUUGAGUGGAUUAAUUUCUCCAACUCCCAUUUCAUGUGGGUUGGCAAAGUAAUUUGAGCUAUUGGUCACUGGCUUCCUCAUGUUAUUGUAGGUUGUAGCUGAAGAAUUACACAACAACAAAACAAUAUAAGUAUAUGAAACAUUGACACAAACACAUAUCUGACACGACACUGACAUGUUGACACCAAUAAUAAAAAUUGAGAAAAUAGAAGUAAAUGAAUGUAAACAUAUGUGUCAGCGCCGGAUAUUGACACAUGUGGGACACCAUACAUGUUUUCAAUCUGAAGUCUUGGUGCUACAUUAAUUAAAAGAUUAGAAAAAGGUUUUCGUCUUUGAGUACCUGUUGUCAUUAAUGCUGAUUUGAUCAUGGAAGGAGUCCAUCUUCCAUGUAUUGAUUUGAUGAAUGCUGCAGCUCCAGUCACAUGUGGGCAAGCCAUAGAUGUACCAGAUUUUAUGCCAAAUAAGGAUGCCUUUUUCCCAAUUGGAACACUUCCUGGCUCAUCACUAUUGGGAAUCAUGGCAGCCAAAAUGGCAACUCCUGGAGCCAUGACAUCAGGCUUGACAAUAGAUUAGCAAAAAUAGUUAGUUCACUGUUCUUAAGAUCCUUAUGUAAUUCUUGAUACAUGGAUAAAUAAAUGAAAUGCAUGAUGGAACACAUAGUAGAAAAUUACCUUGAGAAUGUUUUCUGUUAGGCUUGAAGGGCCUCUAGAUGAGAAUGAUGCCACAAUUGGUGCAGGCCUAUAUCUAGGAAUUUCUAUUGUUGGAAGAAUUGUUGCAGUUGGUUUCCUGUAACAGAAAAAUGACAGACUGAGAGCAUAUAGCUAGUAUAUAAUUUUUUUUACUUUUUCC